This 318-nucleotide unclassified non-coding RNA is filed under the name uncultured Thelephoraceae. RNAcentral describes it as "sequence contains 5.8S rRNA gene". Lineage: Eukaryota; Fungi; Basidiomycota; Agaricomycetes; Thelephorales; Thelephoraceae. The record is from RNAcentral.
GAACGCACCUUGCACCCUUUGGCAUUCCAAAGGGUAUGCCUGUUUGAGUAUCAUGAAAUUCUCAACUCCCCUCGGAUCCCAUCUGUAGGGUGAGCUUGGACUUGGAGGUUUCUGCUGGCGUUCGCCGGCUCCUCUUGAAAUCAUUAGCUUUGAGUUGAUCUCGAUGGCUCGACUGGUGUGAUAAACAUCUACUACGCCGAUUUGUGCCGUCCUGAGCGACGAACGUCGGAGACGCUCUGGCUUAUAACUGUCUUCACCAGAGGACGACGCCCUGAACUUUUGAUCUCAAAUCAGGUAGGACUACCCGCUGAACUUAAG